GUGUUGUAGUGUGAAUACUGGAAAGUCUAGCUGAAACCCACAAACGCAGCACCGCGUUGCAAGGCGUUGUUGCUUUCGUCCGAUAAGAGCCGUCCAUAGCGGAAACAGCGGAAAUUGGCAUAUGUUGAUCGGUGUUCGUAGGCCAAUCGCCUGCCUUGUUCCUUUGAAGCGGUUGUUGCGUUGCGUUGUUGGUUGACGUCAUGUUGAUGAUUUCAGCCACAAUUUACAACGACUUAUCGUACUAAAGCUAAAGCCUCCUUGUGAACGUUCACCUGAAGUUCAACCAUUCGACAGGUGGACGAAAAACAAUUAGGAAUUAGCGCAGUUUUGCGGAACUGCUGUUCGGUGGUCCGGUUUGCAGCAGAAUUGCAUAACAAACAGAAAUGUCUUUGAGGAGGGAAAGUGGGCGAAAGUAAAGCACGUGAGAAAAAGAGUGACAUAUGCAGAAGUUCAAUAAGGUUGUUUUGUCUCCAUACACAGGCUGCUCCGUGUAAAAGUGCAAGGACAUAAGCUUUUGCUACAGACAGGUGCUCUUUCUACUGUUUUCCGUGACAUCUGUUAUUCUUUUCUCUUUCUCUUUUUAGGUAAUUGGUGAUGCGCCGAAAAACAUCAAAUUCGUCAACGUAUAACAUUCAUAAAUAAGUUUCCAUACCUCUUCAAUGUGCAGGUCGUCAAAAAAGUUUGAGAAGUUUCUCUGCAAAACUGCGGUAAUCAACAUGCCUUUUUGCCACCUAAGGCAUGACCUAAGAACCCAGUCCCCAUUAAUGUCAAAUGUCCUUACGAGUGAGCUUGAGAAUUAGAGAAGCAGACUGCACUACUUUCUUCCUAAAAUAAGUAGUGCAUCAGUUUGCAUAUUGUUUACGCAGUUCUAUCAUAAACAUUUUGCGUUUUCAUGGUUCUAGUCCAUGAAAAAAAAGUAGAAUUCCCAUUUUAAAAAUUAUUCAGUAUAGAAGGAGCGAACAUGUUCAGCACCUAAUGUAAGGGAAGUAACCUCCAUGAAACAAUGAAUGUUUGAAAAUAUAUCAUGCCUUGACUCCAUUCCUGCAACAAAAGUAAGGAAAACAUCAGUUUUUCAGCCUGUAGAGUGGGUAGCUGACAAGGAAAUACCAUAGUCAGCAUCAUCACCAAAUUCAGUAGAACUUGAGCUAGAUGGUAUAUUUUGUUUUAUAGGGGAGUUGGCGCAAAUUCAGCACAAAUAUGGGGAGCAAGUAGAGAAGAUGAGCUCUGACUUUCAGCUGGUUCAUUUGACUUGCGCCAAAUACGGAGCUUCUUUGCUGCUGAAGUGCAGAACACUCAAGGACGUCACAUUCUCGAAAAACAAACAUGUUUGUUUUCAUCAAAGUUUAUAUGUGUUUACUUAUGAGAGUGAUGCCGAAUAUCAAGCAUAACGUACGGCUUUGGAGAUAGAGGGGAAGUACAAUGCUUGGGAUGGAGGCAUGGCUGCAAUGUUGCCAGUUCUGAACCCAGAUUCACUCUCGCUACUUGCUAGACACACCUGCAUAUCAUUCUUUUGGUUUUGUAACUUACGCAUUUUCUUAAACAGCACUGAGGUAAACAGCACAAUUCCUGCUUUCUGUUCUGAGGCUUUUACUCAUUACUAUCUGUGUGCCGUGCAGUGCACACACUACAUGGAGGAAGGAAAGAGAGGAGGAGCCCUACUGCUCCGAGAAGUGAAGCCGAGAUUGGGGGACGCUCCAGUGACAUCACCGCUCGUUUUCCGCUUUCAGUUACAUACAUCUCUAUGGGAGCCCCCAACGCAUAGUUUCGGAAUACUUGGAGAGGUGUGGUGGUAGCGCGCCGAAGUGGCCCCCAAAGUCACGUGUGCAAAGCGACCUCAUUGGACUAUUCAGUGAAUGUCUGCUACCUGGUGCACAUGGCCAUCCUCAUCAUGUGAGGACAAGACAUUAAAAGCGUUACCACAUUUAAUGCAGUUCAACAAGUGGGAAUUUUUGCAGUGCCACUUGAAAUACUGUGGUAGUUCAUGAACUCGUCAUUGCAGUGGAUGUGUAUCAGCAAGAUGUACGAGCCUGCAGUGCUAUGGGUUAGCUGCUGUUGCAUGCAAAAUGUUGGCGACACAAUGCGUCCUGCUUCAAGCCAUCUAGUGAUGAGAGCAUAGAUGAGGGUGUUCAUCUGCUCAUGUCAGAGGCAAGCAAAAAGCCACACAGAGCAGCAUUGGUGCCCCAGCCAGCGCACCCUACCAUAUUCUGGACCAUGGUCGCUCACCCAAACCACCCUGUCGUUCAGUUCGAUUGGACAAGCGUCCUUUUGAGUGGGGACAGUCGAAGAUGUGGCACAUGCUGUACUCGAGUGGUGCAGCUCUCGUGGCGUCGGUGGCAAUGACUUUUUCUUCGAGGGCAGCUUAGGUGCCGACAGGGAGCUUGGCCCUACGGUACAACAGAGGCAACACCAGACAUUUUGGACUUGAUUGCCCAAUAUGAAUGAAUCGCAAUGAAACUGACAAAAGAAAAUGCCCCUCGUUCUGCUAUUUCUAUAACGCAUAUUUUGCCCUGUGGCUUACACUAUACUGGAUGAAAGUGCAAGCACAUCUUGCAUUUUGGUGGGACCUCAGAAUCACAAUUUCAGACCUGACUUAACACUUCGCAUCGGUACUCUUUUGCCUUCCAACUUAUCAUUUGCAUGCCAUUGUGCUGUGCUGUUGAAAUGGUGGCAGAGUAAAAAAAAAAUUCCUGUUAGAAUAUGGCUUGCUUUGGAGCAUGCUGACUUAUUUACCUCUGGGUGGCUUGACUCCACCGGGAAUGGUGUCUUAGCAAUAUUCUGGUUGAUUGCCUAGCACAAAUGCAGUCAAGUGAGAUGGCGAAUGGAAUCAAUAUUACUGGGCCCAAAUUGAGGCCGCACAAGUGAUCACAUCUUAGCCAUUCUAGCCGAAACCAGCCAGGGGUGUAGCACCCUCUUAGAUUUUGCUGUAAAAAAUUGUAUGCAUUUCCUUAGGGGUGCAUAUGCAGGAUAUCAGCCUUUUUUUCUUGGUUUUCUUCUCGAACAUGGGGGUGCCACGAGCUGGACCUAAACAGGAGAAAGUGUUGUGCGUUCCACGCGUCCUUCUGACACAUACAGAAGACAUUUCUUUGCCUUCUUUGUGUGGUGUUAGAGGGGAAGGAUCGACAUAGCUUACCAAAUUGCAUAUUGAACGAGAACAAAUCUGAUGACGUGGUAAGAGCUGAAGAACGGAGCGUUUUAACCCACUUGUUUUCCACUCAAAUAUGUUCUCGCAGGAGCUCUAGAUUAUUUGUGCUCGUGAACUGCUGAAUGGAGAUUGUUUCACGUAAAAAUAUGAGGCUGAUCUGUAUUCACUGUUUAACUACGCGAUUGAGAAUAUCGGCCACACGUAAAAAAUGUCACUUUUGAGAUAAUGUUUUCACAUACCUAAGGCCGUCUAGGAAGUGAAAAAGAAAAAGAAAAAAAUAUCAUGCGAUUUGCAGAACAGAGCCUCUCCUAUAACAUAAUGAAAAUCUACAGGUGUAUUUUUUCUUCAACGAUAAAAAAAAAUUUUGACAGCGCAUUCGCAUUGCACUCUGUCAGGUACCGUUAUCAUCCUCCAAAUUAAUUUUGCCUCACUGUUUUUAUUCCACUUUUCUGUAGAUCUUCUUGCAUCAGUUAAUCAUAAAUAUUGGCUGAGAGCAUGUCAGAACGCGGCGUAACAAUAUUUGAAAACUAUUAGUCUUGUGCCGCCCUUGUCCUUCUGCAGAAAGUAUUAAAAGAAAAAAGAAGAAGAGGCAGUACGCGCAUUGCCUCUCUUUCACUGGGAAUGGACGUGUCCUCUGCAUGCACCUGAGUAGAAGAUAUUGCUCAAAAGUGAUGGCACCUCCUCGACAUGUCUCAUUGUGCCUCACCUUCAGCAGUUUUCUUUUCUUUCCUUUUUUUCAACCUUAUGUCCUCAGUGGAGAGCCAGAACGCAUGCACACUCUUCAAGUUUCCUUUCACCCAGAGGAACAGCUCUGGUGGCGUCAGGAUAUGUGCACUAAAUAGGGGCGCUGCAAGCUAGCCAUAACCUUUUAGCAGUACUGCCAACACCAUCACAUUGCCUUUUACCGUGGAAUGAGGAAAAAAAGUGCCACGUAACAUUUAUGCCGAAGUCAUGCUUGUGAAGGCAAAGGUUAGCAAUUUCAUUUUGUCUUUUACUGUUGUGACGCAGCACCGUCAGAGAGGUAGUGCAUUUUUCGGAUGUGAGGGAACUAUGCUUUAUGUUGCCCAAUAAACAAGCGGUGCAUGGUGUGUACCGUGACGUUGUCCUUAGUCAGACAAUCAGAGACGACAACAAAGCUGUUGUGAAGCAGUGAAUGUGAGUCGUCGGUAGAAUGGUAGAAAGCGAAAUUAAUUCAAAUGAUGAUAAUAGUACCUUACCGACGGGAUGUGAAUGUGCUGACAAUUUCUUGUUUUUUUUUUGCACUUAAGAAAAAAAUACAAAAAUAUACUUUUUUGGCCCCCUACCCUGUUGUCUAGGCCUAAAGAAUCCAUUGAACAUGGCCUUAUCGGUUUUCACAUGAAUGCAGGCAUAUCUGUUUCUUCAUUUCUGGAGAUUGUAAAGCUUUGUCCUACUAUCAUAUGCAUAGACUCUUCCAUCGUGCCAAAGUUCAGCUAAAUACAGUGUGUCCCAGCUAACUGCGAACAGAUUUUUAAAUAUAUAUAUAUCACUU
This is a long non-coding RNA of Ornithodoros turicata, 4652 nucleotides long. RefSeq lists it as uncharacterized. The transcript has 4 exons. NCBI's taxonomy places the organism in Eukaryota, Metazoa, Arthropoda, Arachnida, Ixodida, Argasidae. The record is from RefSeq and is a predicted model, not a curated record.